AGCCAUGUGGCAAAAUGGAUACUGCGUCUCCCUUCUAAGGAGAAGAUUGUGGGUUCAAGUCCCACCAUGGCUG
Non-coding RNA from Trichomonas vaginalis G3, 73 nucleotides. The record is from Rfam. NCBI's taxonomy places the organism in Eukaryota, Parabasalia, Trichomonadida, Trichomonadidae.